CAGCAGCCGCGGUAAUACGUAGGUUGCGAGCGUUGUUCGGAGUUACUGGGCGUAAAGAGUGCGUAGGCGGUGCCCUAAGUCUGGUGUGAAAUCUCCGGGCUCAACCGGGAGGGUGCGCCGGAAACUGGGGUGCUCGAGUGUGGGAGAGGCAGGCGGAGUUCCCGGUGUAGCGGUGAAACGCGUAGAUAUCGGGAGGAACACCCGCGGUGUAGACGGCCUGCUGGACCAUGACUGACGCUGAGGCACGAAAGCGUGGGGAGCAAACAGGAUUAGAUACCCUGGUAGUCCACGCCCUAAACGAUGCAUACUUGGUGUGAGCCAUUCAUUUGGUUCGUGCCGGAGCUAACGCGUUAAGUAUGCCGCCUGGGGAGUACGGUCGCAAGGCUGAAACUCAAAUGAAUUGACGG
RNAcentral lists this ribosomal RNA (407 nucleotides) under uncultured soil bacterium. RNAcentral's name for it is "bacterial SSU rRNA". It matches the Rfam family "Bacterial small subunit ribosomal RNA", at positions 509 to 916 of the family's 1533-position model. The record is from RNAcentral.